AAGACUAACUAAAAUAUGUCCGUUCUAGGACGUGGUAUAUACUCCAACAUGCUGGGAUUUCUUGGUGGGGUUUCCUGGGCGAUGCUAGUAGCAAGAACAUGUCAGCUCUAUCCAAAUGCAUUGGCUUCCACUCUUGUUAACAAGUUCUUCUUGGUUUUUUCAAAAUGGGAGUGGCCAAAUCCUGUAUUGCUGAAACAACCUGAAGAGAGUAAUCUUAACUUACCUGUAUGGGACCCUAGGGUGAACCCAUCUGACCGAUAUCAUGUAAUGCCUAUAAUCACAC
Non-coding RNA from Struthio camelus australis, 283 nucleotides. The record is from RefSeq and is a predicted model, not a curated record. Lineage: Eukaryota; Metazoa; Chordata; Aves; Struthioniformes; Struthionidae.